Molecule: long non-coding RNA, 2934 nt
Organism: Manis pentadactyla (Chinese pangolin)
Lineage: Eukaryota; Metazoa; Chordata; Mammalia; Pholidota; Manidae
Exons: 3
Source: RefSeq, a predicted model, not a curated record
GAGAGCAGGAGGCUUGAAGAAACCGCCAAGGAAGGACGGCCUCCAGAGUAGCAAAAGCGGGGGGGCGGGGGGGGAGCAGGAUUCGGGCUGAAGGCCCUGAGGGCCCGGCCGGAGCGCAUCCCUCUGCUUCUGGCGCUCACGGCAGCCCGGCAGUGGGGGGCUGUCAGGAGCCUCUGUGGGCGGCAGGGAAGGAGCUGGAGGAAGCAGCGCGGAGGCAGACACGGAGCAGGGGCGUGCGGACCACGGGCAGGUCGGGGGCAAACAGGAGCGAGCUGGGGCAAGGCCUUCUCCCUCCAUCCAGAACCUGGAGCCCGGACCUGAAUGCCUUCCAGAGAUGUGGGGUCCAGGAGACAGAGGCCAGGCAGAAGACAUCUGGGAACCAGAGGUACUUCUCCAGGGCCCCAGACCACCUCUGAGACCUGCCAGAACCACAGGAAGCCGCCUCUGGUGUGUCGUCCUGUAAGGGGAAGGGCACUGAGUGCUUGUGAAGUCCUGUCCAAUUCAGGAAACAGACACGAGGCCAGAAGAGGAGCCGCAGGAGAAUGAAAGCCACAGGGAAGGCUGGCAGAAGGGACUGCAGCAGUACCAGUGGCUGCUCGUGCUCCACAUCGUGCUGCACGAUGGCCAGAUUGCUUUGCAAAGUGAGAUGAAAGUUUUUGGAAUCCAGUUUUUUGUGACACACAGCAGACUGCAAUGCCUAUGUGAUGUACAGCCCUACUCCCGGACUUUUUGUUUACAGUAGCCAAUCAAUCCCCUUUUUGCUUCUCCUGGUUUGGGUUUUCUGUCCCUUUUAACAGAAGAAAUUUAAUUUUUGGCUCUGAGGUCUUGUGUUUACUCAGCAGGCAUAUAACUUUUUCUCGUGUCUGUGAGACAAGGCUGCCCAGCAUCCCUACCCCCACUGACAUUCCUCUCAGAAAUGCUGUUGGAAGGACAAAAACAUUACCCUCUGGCCCUGGGCCCUUCUAGAACCUUCUCUGAGAUACACAGUCCUUGGCCCCAUUACCUCAUCCUUUGGAACAGAUUAAAAGCCUCCUGUGCUGGAGGACAGGGGGAACCUGACAAGCCGGGGGUGAGCGAAAGCGCGGAAUUCUCCACAGAGACUCCACAGCGCUGCUCAUCCUGAGAGUUUCCCGUGGCCAGCGAAGCCGGCCAAGGCCACAGCUCCUCUGCCAGGGGAAAACGAGCCACAGCACGCAGAAGGGCUGUGCCACUGAGAUGCCAUUGCAUACAGAGCACAGAAAGCUGCCAUAGAGGAAGACCCGCUGAGGGCCGCCCCGGGGGGGAGGUGAUUCUGACGACUGGGCUCAGAACCCUUGCCGGCUUUGUGUCCACGCCUCAGGGUAUGUUAGGCCCUGUGCCGAGCUGCUGAACUAGACAUCAAGAGGCUGGUGAAGGAACAUAGCACCGGAGCAAAAGGUGGUCUGAAGGGAUGCACUCUCCAAGAGGUGAAUGAAUACUCUUGCUCUCGUAAAGUCGGCCUCCUCACACCAGGAGCCCGGCAGGAGAAGAGUUCUUGCACAGAGGUUUAAGGGCAGGCCCCGGGGCUGCCCUGCCUGGGCUCCAGUUCUGAUCCACCCCAAGGAACAGGGAGGCCUUAGGCACAUGGGGCCGCAGGUUCCUCACCUGUAGGGCCAUCAGAGAAGAAAAAAAACUGUACUUAUCUGUCAGGGUUGUGAGGGUUAAAUGAGAUAACGUGUGUGAUGUCCUUAACCCAGAGCCUGACACACAGGAAGUGUACAUUACAUUUAAGCCAUUAUGAUUAACAGUAACAGAAGGCAUCAGGACGAGUCAGUACAUGGCCCAGCUGCCUUCUAAGUUCCUAGUGGCUUCAACUUCAUCUCUCCAUCUCUGGACCCAUGCUUCCUCCUCUGCAAAGUAAGAGUUGAACCAAAAGUAGUCUCUUCUGCUAGAGAUCUCUGAAACUCUUGAAGGAAUGGCUGAGCUCUUCCCUGCUAAGCAGCAGCAGCUGCUUUGAAACACUGAAUUUGCAAAGCCUCUGUAAACUACACCUCCUCUGGGGAACUCCUAGCCGAGAGGGCAGGCUGCUGAGUGACAGAGCGCUUUCAAGAUGUUUGGCUGGGGCUCUGCUGACUCAGAAGAAACAAUGAGCCCAGUUCUCAGUCCUAAAGUUAGAGAAGCCCUCUGAUGGUCCCCAGAGAGGAAGGUCUCAGGAAGCUCAUGGGAGGGGCCAGGGCUUCCAUAGAAUUCUAGAAUGUCAACAUUGGAAAAGCUCUUAGGGGGUUUCUAGUUCACUCACAUUUUGUGAGUGCUUCCACAGUUCCACAAACUAUUAAUAUUCCUCUCAUUUUGUAUACCUCAAACUAUAUUUAAAGUUGUGACUGAUAAGCAUCAAAGACACCAAAAGUGGUCACCCAUUAAAUUUCAAAACAUGAGAAACCAAAGUCCAUUAAUAGGUGUGACAGAUUCUGCUCAUUGUCUCCUAAAUCUACGCUUCCCUUUUUCCUGUGUUGGGGGGACUACAGUUGGGUGGUCCAUGGCCGCCCAAAUUAAAGACAACCCUCAGUUUUUGAUCAAUGGGAUAUAAAUAAAGGUUGUGGGUGCUACUUCUGGUGGGUUCCUUAAAGUGAGGGAUGUGCCCUUCUUCUCCUACCUACUUUUUCUGGCUUUAAUGUAGAUGGAGCUCAGUUAGGACUUUGAAUUGGAAGUUUUGUGUUGAAGGUGGUGGACAAAGAAGGAGCCUUGGGUCCCUGAUGAUCACUGAGUUCUUAUUUACCUACAUAGAGUGUCCUGGACUGUUCACCCCCAGACCUCAUUUACAUGAAAGAAACAUAAACUUCUAUCUUGUUUAAGCCACUUUUAUUUUGGAGUUUCUGCAUUUUACACCUAAACCUAAUUGACGCAUUUGUGUUCUCAGUGAUCGAUUUUGUAACAUAUUAGUAAUAUUUUUGUAGUUUACUGUAAUAUUCUAAGGAA